This 339-nucleotide unclassified non-coding RNA is filed under the name soil metagenome. RNAcentral describes it as "partial contains 5.8S ribosomal RNA, internal transcribed spacer 2, and large subunit ribosomal RNA". The stretch from base 1 to 120 matches the Rfam family "5.8S ribosomal RNA", at positions 35 to 154 of the family's 154-position model. The record is from RNAcentral.
GAUGAAGAACGUAGCGAAAUGCGAUACGUAGUGUGAAUUGCAGAAUUCAGUGAAUCAUCGAAUCUUUGAACGCACAUUGCACCUCUCGGUAUUCCGGGAGGUAUGCCUGUUCGAGCGUCAUUUGUACCCUCAAGCUCUGCUUGGUGUUGGGUGUUUGAUCCGCCUCUGUGUGUGAACUCGCCUCAAAACAAUUGGCAGCCGGCGUACUUGUUUCGGAGCGCAGCACAUUUUGCGAUCCAGAUCAACGUACAGCGGCAUCCAAGAAGCCUUAUUUAACGCUCUUGACCUCGGAUCAGGUAGGGAUACCCGCUGAACUUAAGCAUAUCAAUAAGCGGAGGA